Podarcis lilfordi (Lilford's wall lizard) is the source of this 69-nucleotide non-coding RNA. NCBI's taxonomy places the organism in Eukaryota, Metazoa, Chordata, Lepidosauria, Squamata, Lacertidae. The record is from the annotation of a GenBank genome assembly.
GGAUAGCUCAGUCAGCAGAGCAUAAGACUCUUAAUGUCAGAGUCAUGGGUUCAACCCCCAUGUUGGGCA